UACGUAGGGCGCAAGCGUUUGUUCGGAAUUACUGGGCGUAAAGCGCACGUAGGCGGCUUUGCAAGUCAGAGGUGAAAGCCCGGGGCUCAACCCCGGAAUUGCCUUUGAGACUGCAUCGCUAGAAUUGUGGAGAGGUAAGUGGAAUUCCGAGUGUAGAGGUGAAAUUCGUAGAUAUUCGGAAGAACACCAGUGGCGAAGGCGACUUACUGGACACAUAUUGACGCUGAGGUGCGAAAAGCGUGGGGGAGCAA
Molecule: ribosomal RNA, 251 nt
Filed under: uncultured bacterium
Lineage: Bacteria
Description: partial 16S ribosomal RNA
Rfam family: Bacterial small subunit ribosomal RNA
Source: RNAcentral